GUGCUUAACACAUGCAAGUCGAGCGAAUUCCAGCAGAGCACCGCUGGAGUUAGCGGCAGACGGGUGAGUAAUGCUUGGGCAAUCUGCCCUUGAGUGGGAGACAACCUGCCGAAAGGCGGGCUAAUACCCCAUAAGACCACAGGGUCGCAUGACCUAGGGGUCAAAGCUCCGCAAGGGGCGCUUGAGGAGGAGCCCGAGUCCUAUCAUGGUAGUUGGUGAGGUAACGGCUCACCAAGCCUUUGACGGGUAGCCGGCCUGAAAGGGUGAACGGCCACACUGGCACUGAGACACGGGCCAG
RNAcentral lists this ribosomal RNA (298 nucleotides) under uncultured bacterium. RNAcentral describes it as "partial 16S ribosomal RNA". It matches the Rfam family "Bacterial small subunit ribosomal RNA", at positions 44 to 334 of the family's 1533-position model. The record is from RNAcentral.